UGGUCAAGUUAUUAAGGGUGCAGGGCGGAUGCCUUGGCACUAGGAGCCGAUGAAGGACGUGAUAAGCUGCGAUAAGCUUCGGGGAGUUGCACGUAAACUUUGAUCCGAAGAUUUCCGAAUGAGGAAACUCACUUAGAGUAAUGUCUAAGUAUCAUUAAGUGAAUACAUAGCUUAAUGAGGG
Molecule: ribosomal RNA, 181 nt
Filed under: Clostridioides difficile
Lineage: Bacteria; Bacillati; Bacillota; Clostridia; Peptostreptococcales; Peptostreptococcaceae
Description: partial 23S ribosomal RNA
Rfam family: Bacterial large subunit ribosomal RNA
Source: RNAcentral